RNAcentral lists this long non-coding RNA (29466 nucleotides) under Sorghum bicolor (sorghum). RNAcentral describes it as "long non-coding RNA (SBIC_LNC002953)". The record is from RNAcentral. Lineage: Eukaryota; Viridiplantae; Streptophyta; Magnoliopsida; Poales; Poaceae.
GCUACCAUCCUCAGUGUUUUAUAUGCCUGAUAAAACUAAAAAUAUUAAUUAUGAUUAUAAAAGCUAUCUUCUCUGUAUUGAGUUUGUUCAAAAUGAGUUAGACCCUUGUUGAGAGAUUUAUCAUGCUCCUAAGAUCAAGACAUUUAUUCAGAAAGAUUCACUCUUCCGAAGUAUUAUUGCAUUAGAGGCAUGGGCUAUGCAAAAAUAAAGAUAUUUUGAGGAAAUAAAAAGGAGCAAGUGCUCGACAACCCCGCAGAAAAAAUGGACAAGUGUCCGGCAGUAGAAUUAGGGAUACCUCGGUAUCCACUUAAAAAAAAAGAAAAUGAUAGCCCAUGGUCCCUCUAAUAAGCAAUAUGCCAGCAAGAGUUGACAAAGUUUUUAAAUUUCCAAAGUCUUCGAUCUAAGAGUAUGACAUUCCCCUCCUCGGAUCCCGUUUUGAUCAGGCAAUAAGUACAAAGUAAGUAUGCUUGAGAAUUUUUGCAAAUUAAAACAGCCUCAGUGAGAUAUAUAAAAGAUAAUGUGUGAUCUGAGAGAACCUAUGAGGAUAAAAAGGUAUGCUAACUUUCUUUCGAAAAUAUACAAAAGCUCCAAGUGACAGGAUUGAGUAGAAAGGAUCUUUACUCUUAACCAUAUACUUCCCUAACUAUAGUACACAGUGGAUUUUAACACCCUGCAAAUAUAAAGAAAAUGUUUUACCCCAAAUAUUGUUCUUAACCAUCCUUUUCUCGAGGAUGAGUAAAAGCCUAAGUAUGGGGGUAUUUGUUGACGGUUCUUAAGUAUCAAUUUUAUUUAUCAAAUAAACAAGAGAAAGGACCAAUAUACAACCAACACGUAGAAUUAGGGUUUGAUCUGACAGAGUUCCACGAGUUUUGUUGUUUAUCUGUUUCUGCAGGGGUUUAUGAGGAAAUAAGGAAGAAAGGCCCACAAGUCGGGAUUACAUAGAGAUAUCAACGCACCUCGCAAUUUUCUACCAUCUAGAAGACUCCAGAAGCCACGGGAAGAAAGCAGAGGCCGAAAGGGGCCAGGCCCAGGGCGCCCGCCCUGAGGAUCUGGGCGCCUGCCCCCUCCUAAAUGCCAUUCAAGACUCUCUUCGCACACGAUGUUCCACCGACAUAAAGGAUCAAGGAUAAGUACCACAUCGCCUACCGACCCAAAAAUGCAUAGAGGAGGAGGACUAUAUAAGGAGACCCCCCUGGCCCCUGGAGGAGACAAGAAGUUUAUCAUAGAGUUGAGGGGAGCCCUCGAAGAAAAACCUCUUCUCUAAAUAAAAUUUCUUUUUAGGCUUAGCAACUAAUGUAAGUAGAAAUAGAUCUUCUAGUUUCUACUAGAUUGAGAGAGAUAGAGUGGAGGUGUAGAUUGGAGGAAGCCCGGCUUGUCGGUGUCUACUCCAAGCUUGUACCUACGGGAUCAAGUUCUCCUAACCCGAAGCUUGCUCCUAGGAUUCUUCAGUAUUUCGACUUCUAAAUUCUAGUAUGUUCUUGUUUUAUUGUUCUUUUGGUUUAUGAGUUUACUUUAAUCUCUUCACGUAGAGUUUAGAGUAAUCAUCUCUAGCGUAGACGUGGUGUUUAAGCUAGGAUACUCAUAGAUAUUCCCUGACUAGCUAGACCGUGGUAGUAGCGAGGAACGUGACAUUUCUUAGUUACCUUUGCAGACCAUAUCUCGUUAGCAGGAAGGAUAGGGUUUAUAGGUGCGGGUUGAACAUCCUUUGUGGUGUCUAGAUUCCGUUAGCCUCCCCAAUAGAACAGUAGAUCAUCCUUACCAAGGUUAGAAGGAGAUUACGGUUGUAGUCUUCUCUAUUUAUCACUCACAUCGAGAAACAUUCUUUGUUGCCUAAAGGGUUAGUAGUAAUAGACCGGGUUAGUCAGAUGCACUCUUUCUCCUAGUGGUAAAAAAAUAAAUACGAUACUCUGGAUAACCUCUCGGGUGAAGUGCUCACCGAUAUCCGUGCGCUUGCGGAUCAAUUCCUUAUUGUGUUCCCAAAUAUCAACAACGUCGACCGUUAGAGCUGUCACUACCCUAGGGCUACCACAACAAUCGGCACGAUUGGGUGCAAUUCCAGGUAAUUGCAAGACUAAGCACCACGUCUAAUCUAUUAAUUACUACUCUAAUAUUUCAAAGAUUAGAGCACUUGAUGCAAGCGGGAAUCCAAUAAAUAACUUGAAUGUAAAUAAAAGUAAUUAAAGAACUCAGGAAUUAUGAAUUGAAGAACCUGGAGAACGAUGAAGAACGAACCAGUUGCUGCAAAAGUACAAUGUCGAGGAAGAUCCGACAGAUCCGGCUCCUCCUCCGCUCUCCUCUUCUAUCUCCCUAUUUUCUAGAUUACAACUAGAACUAACUAGAACUAGAACUAGAGGAACUAGAAUUAGAACUAGAUGAACUAGAACUAGAUCUAGAUGAACUAGAAGUAGAACUAGAAGAACUAGAGGGAUCCUCUCUACUUGGAUGAAGAAUUGAAACCCUAACUUUGAUUCUGUAGAAGAGGUAUGAUCUCCAGGGGCCAGGGGGCCUUGCUUAUAUAGUCUUUUCAGAUGAAUCUGGGCCGUUGGAUCAAACCAACAUUGAUUGAAUGGUUAUCCUUGAUCCUUUAGGUCAGUGGAGCAAUAUCGUGAAAGAGAGUCUUGAUUGGACUCUAUGUGAGGGUGGGCGCCCAGGUCAACUGGGCGGGCGCCCAGUGCCUGGCUCCGUUCGGCCUCCGCUUCCUUCCCGUGGCUUCUGGAGUCUUCUAGAUGUAAGAUAAUUGCGUGGCACAUUAAUAUCUCUAUGUAAACCCGACGUGUGGGCCUUUCCUCUGUAUUUCCUGAUAACCCCCUGCAGAAAUAGACAAACACCAAAACUCGUCGAAUUCUGUCAGAUAAAACCCUAAGUCUGGGUGUUGGUUGCAUUUGGAUAAUUUUCCAUGAUUAGUUGAUGGUUAAAUGUGAACAUUAAGGACCGUCAACAGACAUCAAGCCAAAAGAAGAUGAUGAUGUAUAAGUCAUUGAGCCACCAUCCACCUCACAUGUACCACAAGAUGAAGACAAGGAUGUGAGAGAUGCUCAUGAAGACACUCAAGUCACUCAUGAGCAAGCGGUGACACAAGCACAAGAUGUUGAUGCUCCCCAAGCAACCCCUCAAGUGGCGCCAAGAAGAUCAUCAUAUCUCCUCCAAGAUUACUCUCAAGAUCUCAUCAUCGGGAGUCCAUCACAUGGUGUAACUACACGUUCUAGACAUGCUUUAUUUAUUGAACAUCAUGCUUUUGUGUCUCUUGAAGAUGAACCAAAGAAUAUAGAGGAAGAUCUUCGUGAUGCAGAUUGGAUCAUUGCCAUGCAAGAGGAGUUGAACAACUUCUCUCGCAGCCAAGUAUGGACACUUGAAGAGCGACCCAAAGAUGCAAGAUUGAUUGGAACAAAGUGGGUCUUCUGGAACAAGAAGGAUGAUCAAGGCAAAGUGGUGCGCAACAAGGCAAGGCUCGUGGCAAAAGGCUUUUCACAAGUGGAAGGUCUUGACUUUGGUGAAACCUUUGCACCGGUGGCAAGACUUGAAGCAAUCCGUAUCCUACUUGCAUAUGGAUCUAGUCAUGAUAUCAAGUUAUUUCAAAUGGAUGUGAAAAGUGCUUUUUUAAAUGGCUAUAUUAAUGAGCUUGUCUAUGUUGAGCAACCCCUCGGUUUUGAAGAUCCUAGGUACCCCAAGCAUGUCUACCGGUUGUCCAAGGCUCUCUAUGGUCUCAAGCAAGCUCCUAGAGCUUGGUAUGAGAGGCUUAGGGACUUCCUCAUUGAGAAGGGCUUCAAGAUUGGGAAAGUUGACACAACACUCUUCACCAAGAAAAUGAAUGGGGAAAUCUUCAUUUGCCAAGUUUAUGUUGAUGAUAUUAUUUUUGGCUCUACUAAUGAAGAUUUUUGCAAGGAAUUUGGUGAUUUGAUGUCCAAGGAGUUUGAGAUGUCCAUGAUUGGCGAGCUAUCCUUCUUCCUAGGAUUUCAAGUCAAGCAAAUGAAGGAAGGGGUCUUCAUCUCUCAAGAGAAGUACACACAAGAUCUUCUCAAGAGGUUCAAGAUGAUGGAUUGCAAGCCAAUCAAGACUCCCAUGGCAUCAAAUGGACAUCUCGACUUGGAUGAGGGAGGUAACCCAAUUGACAAGACUCUCUAUCGGUCCAUGAUAGGAAGUAUACUCUACCUCACCGCAUCUAGGCCCGAUAUCAUGUUUAGUGUGUGUUUGUGUGCUAGAUAUCAAGCAAUGCCUAUGGAAUCUCACUUGAUUGCCGUCAAGAGAAUUCUUAGAUAUCUAAAAUACACACCUUGCCUAGGCUUGUGGUAUCCCACAAGUGCAAGAUUCCAACUUGUAGGCUAUUCCGAUUCGGAUUAUGCCGGGGGCCGGAUUGAUAGGAAAAGUACAUCCGGAGGGUGCCAUUUCCUAGGUAGAUCUCUUGUCUCUUGGAUAUCUAAGAAACAAAAUAGUGUUGCCUUGUCAACGGCCAAGGCGGAAUACAUUGCCACCAGUGCUUGUUGUGCACAAAUACUCUACAUGAAACAAACUUUGCUAGACUAUGAAGUAGUACUAGACAAAGUACCUUUGUUGUGUGACAAUAAAAGUGCCGUAAAACUUGCUAACAACCCGGUUCAACACACCCGCACAAAACAUAUUGACAUCCGCCACCACUUCCUUAGGGAUCAUGUUGCUAAAGGUGACAUAUCUCUAGAGAAUGUGGGAACGGAAAAUCAAUUGGCAGAUAUCUUCACAAAACCCCUAGAUGAAGCUAGGUUUUGUAUGUUGAGAAAUGAACUUAAUGUGCUUGAUCUCUCUAACUUCACUAAAAAAUGAAAUUGUGUGUUGAAACUUGUAAAUAGCUUUUGUUUUGCACAUCAUGCAUACCAAAACUAAAAUACAAAAAGUUUGUGUGUAGGGCUUGUCUAACAUGGUUAAGAUAACCCCCUUGUGUGUGUGAAAAAGCUUAACCUUGGAUGAAACUUGACAAACAUUAGUUUACUUUCAAGUAUUGCAUUUCACCUGUUAAAUCGAUCAAAGGNNNNNNNNNNNNNNNNNNNNNNNNNNNNNNNNNNNNNNNNNNNNNNNNNNNNNNNNNNNNNNNNNNNNNNNNNNNNNNNNNNNNNNNNNNNNNNNNNNNNGACACUCCUGCAGUUCCUCUCCGGGUACCGGUACUAACGGAUGUACCUGCUCCUGAAUCUCCUCUGGCUCCUCGGGUCCCACCUCGUUCUCCUGCGAGCCUGUAUGAUGCAUGUGUGCUCAUGAGUGGAGUGCGAGAUGCCCGAGGGAUGCUUGUAUGAGAAAGUACUAAAGGAAUCAUGACAUGAUGCAUAGGUGAUGUACUUGGUCAUGCUUAUUACAAGGUAGUCAACAUCAUCCAAGAACAAUUAACUGAAUCAAGCAUCUAUUGCAUUCUCUUCUACAAAUAUUUUUCAAAUGCAACUAGCAACCCCCAUGAUGCUUCAAAGAUACACCAAACCCAACUUAUUCCAUUCAACCUACAUACACAACCAUUCAUAAUUUUCUUUAUUCAUUUCUAGGCCCAUUAAAAAUCACGUGCAAUUCUGUUCAUCAAUAAAUUUCACAAAAAUUACAGGAGACUACCAGCUAAGCGUAAAGUCUACUGUAAAUUUUUCAUAAUUUUUGGUUACUUACUUUGAGCCACAAAAAUCACAAGAUUAAUUAAUAAGGUAAGUAUAAUCACCUUGCUGUGAUAUAAGUGUCAAACAACAGAUUUCAUAUUUUCACAAUUUGUCUAAUAUCAUAAGAAACACCCACGAAAUUUUCCAGAUUUAUUGCAUGAUCCAAUUAAUUAUUAAAAAUCAUAAAUCACUGCCAUGCAAGCAUUUAAAUUACCAUAAAUUCAUUUAUACACCAAAUAAUAUGUAGUAAUAUUUUUCCAGUGAGUAAACACUCAUGCAAAGCUAACAAAACAAGUUUCACAUUUUUCAGAGCCAUAUUCUAUUUACUAUGCAUUUUCCAAAUUUAACAAAAUCAUGGAUUAAAUAUAUUCACACAGAAGAGUUACUUAAUCAUGACAUGCAAACAUACUAGGCUAUAGAUCUUGAAAAACAGGGAACACACCAAAAUUUAUUUUACAAUUUUUGGAGCUAUAUCACCAAGAUAUGGAUUUUUGAACAUUUAAAUCAUUUCGCUGGAAAAACUUUUAAAACGGAAAGCCACCUAAAACGCUAAGCGCACCCGGAUUCACACCCUCGGAGUCACUGACAGGUGGGACACGCGAGUCAGGGGACCCCACCUGUCAUCCACCCUGUGACCCCGCGGCCAAAGAUCGGCCGGAAUCUCGCCGCCGGUGAGGUUUCCGGCGACACCGUGAGCACCUACGGCUGCGCGAGAACGAGACGAGUCCAACCGUACCCUCUUUGGCACCGGACGAGCACCGGAACUACCUCGCCGUCGCGAAUGGCGGACGCGGCGGCGCUGCUCGCCGUGGUCCGGCCAUUUCACGGCGGUAGAGCGUAAGCUAGCGACGGGAAAAGGUGCGCGAGGCCAAGGCGGAUCCAAAGCACCUACGAACGCAAGCAGAGACAGAGAGGAGAGGGAGAACCGUGCGAGCCGAGAGGUCGCCGGAGCUCCGACUCACUCCGGUGAGCUCUAGCGGGCACGCAGGGCUUACCGAGCGCGGAAGAGCGCAAGCACGCGACGCGGAAGGACGAGGCGGAGUCGGUGGUGGUCGCGAAGAGGAAGGAGAGGGCCGGAGCUGGCCGGGAGAGGAGCUCUGAGCCAUCGGCGGCUAUGGCGUGCGGCGGAGCGGCGGGCGCUGCGCGAGAGCGAGCAGAGAGGCGAGAGCGAGUGGUGGAGGGCGCAAAUGGGAGCGGGAGCUUCGGCGGACGCGACCAGGGGCUCCUGGUGGCCGACCAGGGCUUCUCCUCGCCGUCGCAUGCCCGCCACGCGGCGGCCAGGCUCUGCCGGCGCGCCACGGCGGCACGGCGAGGCCGUCCACGCGCGCGGACGCGGGCGCGAGCGCGGGGAGGGGGAAGGGGAAGGCGCGGGCGGGCCAGGCCGGCUUCGGCCAACGGGCCAGAAGUGAGGCCGCGGCCUGCUAGCGCCCCCUUUUCCCUUUCCUAUUUUUUUUUGAAUUUCUUUUCUCAAAUUCUCUUAUAAAUUCAUUUUGGCCAUUUUCAACUCAUUUUCACCACUUUCUCCCAAAGGCAAAGUUGUUCCAAACUAAAAACUCUACAACUUUGCUUUAAUAAGCAAAACCAAAUUCCAAAUAGAAUUUAAAUUACAAAUUAGAACCUAGUUCUAGGUUUUUAAAUAAAUUCUUUUUGGAUAUUUUGUAGAAAUUCCAUUUCUCAAAUUCCAUAGCUCCAAAAAUUACACAAAAAUAUUCUAAAUUCUUCUUACACAUAAAUCAACCUAGUUUGAAUAUUUCACAAUUUUAGGAGCAAGCAUCAUAUUUUUGACAUAUUUAUAACUCAUGAAGUGAAGCACAUAAAAUCAUAAUUUGAAAAGAGUGUCAUGCUCAUGAGGCUUAUGCUUGAUGGGAAUGCUUAUGCAUGACUUUGAUGAGACUAAGUGCAUGCUUAACACCUAGGGUGUUACAGCCCUUCCCCCCUUAGGGAAAUCUCGUCCCGAGAUUUUGGGUUACUAACCAUUUCUUAUGAAAUUUUGGAUAAACUGUUUUUAAGUAAUCCUCUGUUUCCCAGAUGGCAUCCCUAUCGUCAUGAUGACUCCACACCACCUUGUAUGUUCGAACAACUCUGUUUCGGGUUACGCGUUCCUUGGUAUCCACAAUUUCCACUGGCUGCUCUUUAUACUCCAAGUCUGCUUUUAAUUUGAUCCCCCUAGGUUCAAUUCUUUGCUCCGGCACCUUCAAACAUUUCCGCAGUUGCGACACAUGGAAGACCGGAAAGAUCGAGCUCAUCUCUUUAGGUAACUGAAUCUUAUAGGCUACUGGGCCUUUCCUCUCUAGCACUUGGUACGGUCCCACAUAUCUGGGUGCAAGCUUGCUUCGAACUCGGAAACGUUGAACUUUCUUCAUGGGCGUAACCUUGAGGUACACAUAAUCACCUACGUUGAAUUCAAGUGGUCUUCUUCUCUUAUCCGCAUAACUCUUUUGUCGUGACUGUGCCGCUUGCAUAUGCUGUUGUAUGAUCUGCACCUUUUUCUCGGCAUCAUUCACAAAGUCGAUACCAUAGUAUCUUCUUUCACCAGGUUCAACCCAGUUUAACGGAGUUCUACAUCUUCGACCAUACAAAGCUUCAAACGGGGCCAUCUUGAUACUCUCUUGAUAACUAUUAUUGUAUGAGAACUCAGCCAAAGGUAACCAUGAUUCCCACGAUCCCCUGGAUGAUAGCACACAGGCCCUCAGCAUAUCUUCUAACACUUGAUUUAGCCUCUCAGUUUGUCCUGAAGUCUGGGGAUGAUAGGCCGUGCUUCUUAUCAGACUGGUCCCCAAACUCUUAUGCAUGCGCUCCCAGAAGUGAGCAGUGAACUGCGGUCCUCUAUCUGAUAUGAUGGCCUUGGGAAUGCCAUGCAACUUGACAAUCUCAGCCAUAUAUAUAUCGGCAUACUCAGGAGGUCGGUAGCGAGUCUUCACAGGAAUGAAAUGGGCCGAUUUGGUCAAUCGAUCUAUGAUUACCCAAAUCGAGUCAUUCCCCUUCCUUGUGGUUGGUAAACCUGUGAUAAAGUCCAUACUGACCUCUUCCCAUUUCCACUCUGGAACUGAUAACGGUUGUAACAGACCUGCAGGUUUCAUAUGGAUGGCCUUAACUCUGCAACACGUGUCACAACGGGCCACAUACGCAGCUAUUUCUUUCUUCAUCUUGGUCCACCAAAAGUGGGGUCUUAGAUCUUGAUACAUUUUGCUACUGCCAGGAUGAAUAGAGAGCUUGGAGAGAUGGGCUUCAUCCAUGAUGCGAUUCUUCAAUUCCCGAUCUUUCGGGACUACUAACCGAUGUUGAAACCACAGUACCCCCUUCUCAUCAACUCGAAACUGAGUUUUUGUGUCAUCUUUGAUCUUUUCUUUGAUGUGGAAAAUACCCUUGUCGGUUUUCUGACCUUCAAUGACUUGACUCUCGAGUGAACAACUGAGUUGUAUGUGACAUAAGACUUCAGGAUGCAUGAGAUUGAACCCAUCUUCAAACAACGGUUGAACCACCUGAUAGUGCGGUUUACGACUCAAAGCAUCUGCUACUACAUUAGCCUUGCCCGGAUGAUAGUGAACUUCCAGAUCAUAGUCCUUGAUCAGCUCUAACCACCGUCGUUGCCUCAUAUUUAGCUCGGACUGAGUGAAGAUGUACUUCAAACUCUUGUGAUCGGUGUAAAUGUGACACUUAUUUCCUAGCAGAUAAUGUCUCCAAAUCUUCAAGGCAUGCACCACUACUGCUAACUCGAGGUCAUGCGUUGGGUAAUUGACUUCAUGCUUUCUCAGCUGUCGGGAAGCAUAAGCUAUCACCCUGCCAUCUUGCAUCAACACACAUCCCAGGCCACUCUUUGAUGCGUCACAAAACACAUCAAAAGGCUUCUCUAUAUUGGGUUGCACCAGAACGGGAGCAGUGGUUAGCAACUUUCGCAAGGUGCGGAAGGCUAACUCACACCCUUCCGUCCAGACGAACUUAUGAUCCUUUCAUAGCAAACUUGUCAUUGGCUUAGCAAUCUUGGAGAAGUCAGGUAUGAAACGACGAUAAUACCCGGCCAGACCAAGAAAACUUCUAACUUCCGAGACAGAAGUUGGUGCCUUCUAGUCCAUAACUUCCUGCACUUUUGAUGGAUCCACAGCAAUCCCUUCUUCAGACAGAAUGUGCCCAAGGAAAGGAACUUUCUUUAACCAGAACUCACACUUGCUGAACUUGGCAUACAACUGAUGCUCUCGUAAUCGUGUUACCACGAUUCUCAGAUGCUCGGCGUGAUCUUGUUCAUUUUCUGAAUACACCAGAAUAUCAUCAAUAAAUACCACAACAAACUUAUCCAAUUCUGGCAUAAAGACUGAAUUCAUCAGAUACAUAAAGUAUGCAGGAGCAUUUGUCAGCCCAAAGGACAUGACAAGAUACUCAUACAACCCAUAUCUGGUGGAAAAAGCAGUCUUCAGGAUAUCUUGCGGACGAAUCUUGAUUUGAUGAUACCCAGACCUCAAAUCUAUUUUAGAAAACACUCUGGCCUUGGAUAACUGAUCAAACAAGAUAUCAAUCCUUGGCAAGGGAUACUUAUUCUUGAUUGUUACGGCAUUGAGUGGACGAUAGUCCACGCACAUGCGCAACGAUUGAUCCUUCUUUUUCACAAACAACGCUGGACAACCCCAUUCCGACGAGCUUGGCCGGAUGAACCCUUUAUCCAGUAAUUCCUUUAGCUGAUUUUUCAACUCAGCGAGUUCGUUUGGGGGCAUCCGGUACGGCCUUCUAGAUAUUGGUGCUGUACCCGGUAUCAACUCGAUUGCAAACUCCACUUCCCUAUCUGGGGGAAGUCCUAGUAAAUCCUCAGGAAACACAUCAGGGAACUCACAUACCACGGGUAUGUGUUCUAGAGGAACUACCUGUACUGCACAUGAAAGUCUGGCGAAGUCCAACCGUCUAGGUAGCUUGACCUGAAGCACACCCUUCCCUUGCGGGUCUCUAAGGGAAAGAGUUCUAUUCCCGGCAUCUAUAACCGCGCCCCAGUCAGUCAGCUUGUUCAUUCCAAUGAUGACAUCCAAAACCAGUCCUGGCAUAACCACAAGGUUUACACGAAACCUCCGGCCACUGAUAUCCAAAGUAACUCCUGUUACUGUUUUAUUAGUCAACACAUCGGCUCCGGCUGAGCUGAUGCGAUAGCCAUAACCUAACUCAGUAACUGGCUGGUUAUGCUUUUGUGCAAAUGUUUGGCUCAUGAAUGAAUGCGAUGAUCCAGAAUCAAACAAAACAACUGCGAGAUGUUGGUUGACAGGAAACAUACCAGCUGUUACCGGUUCUUCUUCCGGAAUUUCCUCGAUCGAGGUAUGAUGCACACGAGCUGGAUAGGUUGGUUGUUGCCUUUUGGGGUAGGGACAUUCCUUAGCAAAGUGCCCCAUCUUGUGGCAGUUAUAGCAUGGACCUUUGGGCGCAUUGUUGGCGGCAGGUGCUGUGGCCUGGAUUGCCUUCGGCUUGGCAGGGGCUAUCGCCACCUUGUACGGCUUCUGCUGUGUUGGAUGUCCGGUGUUCCUUCUUUGCGGCGGUCGGAAUCUAGCACCUGGGGCAGGAGGACGAUACGGCUGUCGCCCUGCCACUGGUGCCCUGGACUGGGAUGAUCCGGCUUCAAAAGCCCUCUUACGAGACUUGGAUGGACUGUAGUUGUUGUUGUUGUUCUCUUGGGUCAGACAGUCACUGAUAUAGGCAUUGAAAGUAGCCCUAGCCCCUGUACCCAUGGUCUUCAGCAUCUUUGGAUUCAAGCCCCUCUGGAAACUAGCAAUCUUCUUGGCCUCCAUGUUCACAAACUCGGGGGCAUAGCGAGCGAGAUUAUUGAAAGCGUGUAGGUACUCCUUUACAGAUUUCGUCCCCUGGGACAGCCUCAUGAACUCCCCAACCUUCAUUUCAACCACGCCAGGAGGAAUAUAAUUUCCCCGGAAGGCGGUGGUGAAGCGGUUCCAGGUGAUUGGGGUCCCCUCUGGGUAGGUGGUACGAUGGUGGGACCACCAAAUCCCAGCAGGUCCUUGCAACUGAUGUGCCGCAUACUCAGCCUUAAGUUCUUCGGUCAUCCGAAGAAGACGAAACUUCUGCUCCAUGGUGUUGAUCCACUCAUCUGCUUCGAGCGGUUCCAAAGCCUCCUUGAAGAUUGGUGGCUUGGUAUCCAUGAAGUCCUUGAACGAACUGUACUGGUUGACUUCACGGCCGCCCUAGUUAUCCCCACGACGGGUGUUGUCAGCUAUGUUGCGCAGAGCUUCUUCCGUGUUGCGCUGCAUCUGUUCCAUGUUGCGUUGGCUCCCCAGAAACUGCGCAAAAAACACGUCCGCAGUGUACGGAGGAGGCGGUGGUGGUGGCGGUGUUGGUGCUCUGCCCUCAUUCCGUUGAGCCCCACCUCCGGAUGUACCUGCUCCAAGGCCCGGAUUGCUGUUACCCCCGCCACGUGUUUGCACCAUCUGCAUACGCCAAUGAUAAGCAUUCGUUAGGAGUUGCCAUCAAUGGUAGAAAAUGCGUAAAAUCGUGCCGUACUGAAUUUACUGAGGAAAUAAAUUCACACAAUAAACAAAGGCACAACAACUCAUCAUCCACACACAACAUCACUAACAGAUUACUUAACAUUCACGCAACAAGGUUCGCAUACAUCCAACUUGCCAGCAUACAUACACUGGACUUUUAGCAUUAACUCAUAAGUCUUACAUAGCCCAGAUCCAAAAGUACACGACAUGCCAUGCAACAUACAUCACAAAAGAAGAAGGGCUAGCUCUAGAGCCCUAGCAUCUACUCGCUAUGGUCACUGUCCAUGCCGGAGCCAUCCUCAUCCUCAUCACCACUAGCAGCUGCUCCUAUCUCGGGAUCCGCAUCCAUCUCGUCCUCAGAGUCUAGCUCAGCUGCUCCAGGCAGGUGGUGAGGGUGGAGCUGGUUAUGCAGCUGGUGGAUCUCCUCAUGCAAGUUCUCAUUGUACUCCUCAGCAUUAGCUAGCUGCUGCUCUAGCUCCAGGUGUCGGGCCCUCAAAGUGUCCUCCUCGUGCCAGGCUUCAUUCCUCUGUCCAAGCACAUGGACUAGCAUGCGCUCGCAGUUCCUGUGAGCAGUAGUCACCCUGUCCUUCUGCUCCCGUACUGCAAGCAGGUCCUGACUCAGCUCACUGUUCUUCUGGACUGCCUGGUCUCUCUCUCUGGUCACACGGGCCAACUCUGCCUGUAGCCUCUCAACCUCAGAGUCGAACUCACGCUGCAACUGACGCUUCUCAUCCUGGACGGUGAGAAGAGACCCGGACAAGCGACCCAAACAACGCUCUAGGCCUCCAUAGGUCUUCAUCAACGCGUACAUGGCAAUCAUAGCUGCACUGUCACUGUGCUGGUCCUCGUCCGCACUCCUCUCUAGAGCAUUUACCUCGGACUGAUCCCACACCGAAGUGUAGGGGUCACACCGGGGAAACACCCCAGCGAAGGCGUGGUCCUGCUCCUGUGGAAACCUCUCCAUGAGGUCCCUCAGAACUGCGAAAGCUGCCCUGCUGGCACCGUGGAGAGGCGUGACACCUCGGGACUCGUACACCCAGCCGCCCCAAGCGGGGUCUCCUCCACUAGUAGGGACAACUGCCUCGAUCCCCACCAGGGUCUCGUCACCAAGCGGCUCCUUAUCCCAAUAGUAGCGAGGUUCCCUUCCUUUAGGAUACCCCAUCGAGCUGAGCACCCUCCAAAGCAAAGUGGGCAUCCCAAACUCCUCCAGGAACUUGCUCUUAUGUCGCGAGCUCCUAGCUGCCAACGGAUGGUGAGGGGCCCGCCCACGAGUGGACUUGCGAGCGGUGAGCCUAGUGCGUGCCAUCUGCUGCAAAUGGAAUACCGUGGGUAAGAGCGAGGAUUACCUUUAAUUAUUUUAUUUAGAAUUGGGACAGAUUAAAUUAUGGGGGAAAGUAAGCAAUGAUAUGAAAUGAACAUGAUGCAUGCACGAACUUACGAUCUCACAAACUUAAAAACAAACGUUAACACUAAGCGGUAUAUGUGGUGGCAUACAACGUUCUCUCAUAUCGUAACUAGCGUUCUAAGCGAGAACGUGGUUAGGGUACCUGUAGAAAACUCAUUUCAGCCCACCCACACUAUGAUCAUGCAGAGCAAGAAUUUAAAACCAUGCACUUCACAUACACAGACACCUGUCCAUGCAUGUGGCGGGUCACUACCCACAUCAUCACCCUAUUGACGGCAUCGCCUCUCAGGACGGAAUUCCCAACAUGCGGUACUGUUCCCAAGACACACAAAACAUGUGUGCAUGACACAGUACCUAGCAACACUCCCCUAGACCGGCAGUAUAUCCGAUCAUGCUCUCACAGCUCCCACUUACCGUGGCGUAGAGGAAAAAGGGAUCCAUACAUUACCACUCAAAUGAAUGGCACUCAUACUAUUGCACGCCGUAUGAGCGACGAAAUAGAAAUAUGAUGCAUUCACCCCCAAGUCAGUACUUAACUAGCCACCUUAGAGUCCUUAACUGGGCAUAAGGGAUAUGACCAUGGCACACUAGAUAGUUUUCCAAAACUUAGUUUAACACCUUGAUCUUUAUUAAUUACUAAAAUCCUUCAUUAGACCGGUUUAGAUUUUGUUUAGAAUGUACUUAUGAACAGUAACUCGCUAAACCUUGCUUUGAUGCCAGCUGUAACAGAACCGACCAAAUUAUAAGAGAUUAAGCCUAACAACGACCAUUUGCAUAGUCAAACCAUCAGGCUUAAGCCCAUAUAAUCCCGGUAGUCCGUGAAAUCUCGAAGGAUUUCAAACCGCACAUCGCAUAACAGCCAAGAUCAUAAUAAGUUUAGCGGUCGCCAUCCACAAGUACAUCCAGAUUACAACAUUCAUAAAAUACAUCGGAGUGCACAAAGUUAUUACAAACCAAGUUCUUCAAGUAGCGGAAGCUUCAUUGUUCGAAAAUACGACACACACGCUUAGUCUGAUACAGUGCCAUAGUUCGGUCAUUCCCACAAAAGCAAAAGAAGAGACGGAGUGACCAUCGCCCUUGAUCUAGUCAUCACCCAUGGCUGGGUACAGACAGAGGAUGCAAUAACCAUAGUACAUUUGACCAUCUGCAAAACAACAUGGGAGUAGAACCCUGAGUACGAGAAGGUACUCAGCUAGACUUACCCGUCAUAAACUUAAAAUAAAGACUCAUCAAGGAUCAUGAAGGCUAUAUAGUGGGGUAGCUGACAACCAUUUGCCAAAACCGCAGUAUUUCACUAUCAUAACCUACAUAAGUAUCUCUUCUUUUAGUCUGCUCAAGUUGAAAGUAUCAUUACCUAUUAUCUAGGUUUGCACCUGCACUAUUACAAGCAAGUAUGAGACUAUGAUAGUACCUCAUCAUAGCAUUUCUUAAAACCAUUCAUCAUUAUAACCCAAGUGUUCCAUAGUCCUUACUACGAGGACAGGGCUCAUGUCAAGUGCUCACUAUCCAGGAGCGAUGGCGAUUCGAAUCGAUUUCUAACCAGCUGGCGAAUUUAUUCCUCACACAAACCACACUCACUGAUCAAGUGAGCUACAGGUCACCGUGUUGCACUAUCCAGGACCAAUUCGCGGGUUCGACAGGCACCGCCCGUACCCGAGGACCGUUCCGUCGACCGAGGUAUCCAAGGUAUACCAAGGUUGCGCGCCGCGCCCUCGUCGUUCUCCUCAACCAUCACCAAUACAGCGCGUACAUCGGGCUGAUUCCUGGCUCGGAUAGUGCUCAGGCUUCGCGGUUGGAACGACUUAUCCUUCCAGCUAAAUGUGGGGCAUGCGUUCAACAUGACAAGAGGGCCGUCAACGAUCGGUCCUUAAGCGACACAGGCAGGGGCACUAUGGUCAACCCACCAUAAGACCCUGCCCGGUCUCCAAAUUCAUUCCACACUUGGUCAUACUUUUCCCGAGCAACCAAUGCUUAAUCAAACAGGUAUCCACCUAUAUCUCGCAGGUGACAGGAAAUCACCCGACUUCUACCGGACUAAGCAAGCUAAGCACAGACUCCGUGCCUAUCUACAUAUGACAAGGUGGGUGAACAAGUAGGGAUAACAAGGAGUACACAUGCAGCAACGGUAUCAGGCAACUCCUAUCACUUAAUAUGCAAUACAGUAGAACAAGUAUAGUACUUCAUAUAAGUUAGCGAGGAUAGGGAGACUUAGAAUGCUCCAGGGCUUGCCUUUCUCAAAGGUGCUGGGUCGGUGAUCUGGACACACCUGCAGUUCCUCUCCGGGUUCCGGUACUUCCGGAGGUUCCUGCUCCUGAAUCUCCUCUGGCUCCUCGGGUCCCACCUCGUUCUCCUGCGAGCCUAUAUGAUGCAUGUGUGCUCAUGAGUGGAGUGCGAGAUGCCCGAGGGAUGCUUGUAUGAGAAAGUACUAAAGGAAUCAUGACAUGAUGCAUAGGUGAUGUACUUGGUCAUGCUUAUUACAAGGUAGUCAACAUCAUCCAAGAACAAUUAACUGAAUCAAGCAUCUAUUGCAUUCUCUUCUACAAAUAUUUUUCAAAUGCAACCAGCAACCCCCAUGAUGCUUCAAAGAUACACCAAACCCAACUUAUUCCAUUCAACCUACAUACACAACCAUUCAUAAUUUUCUUUAUUCAUUUCUAGGCCCAUUAAAAAUCACAUGCAAUUCUGUUCAUCAAUAAAUUCCACAAAAAUUACAGGAGACUACCAGCUAAGCAUAAAGUCUACUGUAAAUUUUUCAUAAUUUUUGGUUACUUACUUUGAGCCACAAAAAUCACAAGAUUAAUUAAUAAGGUAAGUAUAAUCACCUUACUGUGAUAUAAGUGUCAAACAACAGAUUUCAUAUUUUCACAAUUUUUCUAAUAUCAUAAGAAACACCCACAAAAUUUUUCAGAUUUAUUGCAUGAUCCAAUUAAUUAUUAAAAAUCAUAAAUCACUGCCAUGCAAGCAUUUAAAUUACCAUAAAUUCAUUUAUACACCAAAUAAUAUGUAGUAAUAUUUUUCCAGUGAGUAAACACUCAUGCAAAGCUAACAAAACAAGUUUCACAUUUUUCAGAGCCAUAUUCUAUUUACUAUGCAUUUUCCAAAUUUAACAAAAUCAUGGAUUAAAUAUAUUCACACAGAAAAGUUACUUAAUCAUGACAUGCAAACAUACUAGGCUAUAGAUCUGGAAACAGGGAACACACCAAAAUUUAUUUUACAAUUUUUGGAGCUAUAUUCAUCAAGAUAUGGAUUUUUGAACAUUUCAAUCAUUUCCUGGAAAAACUUUUAAAACGGAAAGCCACCUAAAACGCUAAGCGCACCCGGAUUCACACCCUCGGAGUCACUGACAGGCGGGACACGCGAGUCAGAGGACCCCACCUGUCAUCCACCCCGUGACCCCGCGGCCAAAGAUCGGUCGGAAUCUCGCCGCCGGUGAGGUUUCCGGUGACACCGUGAGCACCUACGGCUGCGCGAGAACGAGACGAGUCCAACCGUACCCUCUUUGGCACCGGACAAGCACCGGAACUACCUCGCCGUCGCGAAUGGCGGACGCGGCGGCGCUGCUCGCCGUGGUCUAGCCGUUUCACGGCGGUAGAGCGUAAGCUAGCGACGGGAAAAGGUGCGCGAGGCCAAGGCGGAUCCAAAGCACCUACGAACACAAGCAGAGACAGAGAGGAGAGGGAGAACCGUGCGAGCGGAGAGGUCGCCGGAGCUCCGACUCACUCCGGUGAGCUCUAGUGGGCACGCAGGGCUUACCGAGCGCGGAAGAGCGCAAGCACGCGACGCGGAAGGACGAGGCGGAGCCGGUGGUGGUCGCGAAGAGGAAGGAGAGGGCCGGAGCUAGCCGAGAGAGGAGCUCCGAGCCGUCGGCGGCUAUGGCGUGCGGCGGAGCGGCGAGCGCUGCGCGAGAGCGCGCAGAGAGGCGAGAGUGAGCGGUGGAGGGCGCAAAUGGGAGUGGGAGCUUCGGCGGACGCGACCAGGGGCUCCUGGUGGCCGACCAGGGCUUCUCCUCGCCGUCGCAUAUCCGCCACGCGGCGGCCAGGCUCUGCCGGCGCGCCACGGCGGCACGGCGAGGCCGUCCGCGCGCGCGGACGCGGGCGCGAGCGCGGGGAGGGGGAAGGGGAAGGCGCGGGCGGGCCAGGCCGGCUUCGGCCAGCGGGCCAGAAGUGAGGCUGCGGCCUGCUAGCGCCCCCUUUUUCCUUUCCUAUUUUUUUUUAAUUUCUUUUCUCAAAUUCUCUUAUAAAUUCAUUUUGGCCAUUUUCAAAUCAUUUUCACCACUUUCUCCCAAAGGCAAAGUUGUUCCAAACUAAAAACUCUACAACUUUGCUUUAAUAAGCAAAACCAAAUUCCAAAUAGAAUUUGAAUUACAAAUUAGAACUUAGUUCUAGGUUUUUAAAUAAAUUCUUUUUGGAUAUUUUGUAUAAAUUCCAUUUCUCAAAUUCCAUAGCUCCAAAAAUUACACAAAAAUAUUCUAAAUUCUUCUUACACAUAAAUCAACCUAGUUUGAAUAUUUCACAAUUUUAGGAGCAAGCAUCAUAUUUUUGACAUAUUUAUAACUCAUGAAGUGAAGCACAUAAAAUUAUAAUUUGAAAAGAGUGUCAUGCUCAUGAGGCUUAUGCUUGUUGGGAAUGCUUAUGCAUGACUUUGAUGAGACUAAGUGCAUGCUUAACACCUAGGGUGUUACAUGCCACGUCAACGAAUAAUCAGGCUGAGUAUCAAGCUUUAAUAAAGGGAUUAGAGUUAUUGAGGGAGGUUCAUGCUGAUGCCGUCAAAGUCUUCGGAGAUUCUAAGCUAGUUAUAAAUCAAUUGGAUGGAAGCUAUGAAUGCCGAAGUGAAGUUCUCAUAACUUAUUACGAGCGGAGUAUGCAAUUGUUGAAGGAAUUCAAGGAUUUCCAAUUAGAGUAUGUUCCUCGAUUGCAUAAUGAAGAGGCCAAUCGAUUAGCUCAGCAUGCCUCGGGAUAUCAGCCUAUGAUUGAUGCAAUAUCGGCAAUUGGUGCUGAUGAUUGGAGAAAAGAGAUCGCUGAUUAUUUGAAAGAUCCAUCUAAGAGAGUUGAAAGGCGAGUUUGGUUUCAAGCCACCAAGUAUGUGCUCCUCGAAGAUGAAUUGUACUACUGAACUGUUGAUGGGAUUCUUCUCCGAUGCUUGGGUGAUGAUGAAGCUAGAAGUUUGAUGGGAGAAAUCCAUGAAGGGGUAUGUGGAGCACAUCAGUCGGCCUUCAAGAUGAAGUGGAUGAUUAGGAGGAAUAGAUAUUACUGGCCGACCAUACUUGAGGAUUGCUUUAAAUAUUUCAAGGGAUGUCAAGGAUGUCAAAAAUUUGGCAAUAUUCAAAGAGCACCCGCAUCGGCCAUGAAUCCUAUUAUCAAACCUUGGCCGUUCCGGGGAUGGGCUAUUGAUUUGAUCGGCCAAAUUUAUCCACCAUCUAGCAAGGGACAUAAGUUUAUUCUAGUUGCCACCGAUUAUUUCACUAAAUGGGUUGAAGCUAUCCCUUUGAAGAAAGUCACAUCGGCCAAUACGAUUGAUUUUGUGAAGGAGCACAUUAUUUACCGAUUUGGGAUUCCUUAGACAAUUACUACCGAUCAGGGUACUAUGUUCACAUCAGGGGAAUUUGAUGAAUUCGCAAUCGGUAUGGAAAUUAAGGUGUUAAACUCUUCUCCUUAUUAUGCUCAAGCUAAUGGGCAGGCCGAGGCGUCUAACAAAGGAAUUAUCAAGCUUAUCAAGUGAAAAAUUGAAGAAAAUCCUAAGCGGUGGCACACAUUAUUAGGUGAAGCUUUAUGGUCAUAUCGAAUGGCUUGUCAUGGAUCAACCAAAGUUAAGUUUCGCCUUAUCAGUUAGUGUAUGGACAUGAUGCAGUGUUGCCUUGGGAGAUUAAGGCUGGAUCUAGGCGACUAUCUUUUCAAGAUCAAUUGGCUACCGAUGAUUAUGCUACUUUGAUGACAGACGAGUUGGAUGAUUUAGUAGGGCAUCGGCUGAGGGCUUUGAUGAGUAUAGAAGAGAAUAAGAAAAGAGUUGCCAGAUGGUACGAUAAGAAGGUGAAGGCUAAGGUAUUUGCCGAUGGAGACUUAGUAUGGAAAUUAAUCUUACCGAUCGGGACUAAAAGUUCAAAGUUUGGGAAGUGGUCUCCCAAUUGGGCAGGUCCCUAUCGGAUAAGUCGAUCGGCUCCUGGUAAUGCCUACAUUUUAGAAACUCUCGAAGGAGUUGAAUUUCCCAGAGCAUUAAAUGGCAAAUAUCUAAAGAAGUACUACCCCAGUAUAUGGGUCGAUGCAUAGAAGUUCAAAUGCCGAUAACACUCCUAUCGGCUAGAUUAAAAUGUAUCUAAGGCCAGACUUAAUGUUGCAAAAGAUGCCGAUAACUGUCCUAUCGGCUAGACUAAACAUUAAGAAAGCUGAAAAAUAGGAAGAGGCCGAUGUGUUGCCGAUGAGGAGCUCACAUACUUAGCAGUGCUUGGAUGGCCGAUAUAGCGCGCAGGCGGAUCUGGUUGGCUGCUUCUAUUUCUUUGACGUCUUCAUCGGCAGAGCCUUCUAUCGGCUUCAACUUUUUCUUCAACUGCAGUGCUUUGCGACCAUGAGCGUUUCGUUCUUGUUCAAGGAGUUUGAUGGUCUCUGGCAGUUGACUCUCUUCCUAUUGGGCUUGAGAUAGGGUGUCCUCCACUUGCUUGAGUUCUGCCAGCAGGGCUUCUCUCUUGGCCGAUAAGUCGGAGAUCUUCUGUUUCAGUGCGGCUCCUGAAGACUUCAAGGCGCCGAUGCUCUUGUGUUUCUCAUUGGUCAGGAGCUUCUCUUUCAUCAUCUCCUCAGAAAGUCGGGUCUGAGCAGCUCUAUCGGCAAGGCGCCGGGCGGCCCUUUGGUACUGCAGCUGACGACUUUCCAGAUGUGCGGCCUGGAAGAGGGUUUCUUCGGCAUCGGCAGGAAUCUAGCUUCUGAGGGCCUUGAACAGAACCUUGGCCGGAUCAGAGUCAUCGACCAAUUGGGCCGUAUCUUGAUGGAGGAGGGCCGACAGUUCUUCCAGUUUAGUCCUGAUCUCUGCCGAUGAAAUCCCAACUGCCCGGGAGGAACUGGCUUCCUCACCUUCGUCUUCGGAGACAUCAAUAGCGAAAGAGAAUAGGCUGUCGGGAGAAUCCUGCUCCUAAAAAGGAAAACAAAGUGAGUCGUUCUAUGAUAAGAGCAUCGGCAAAUAAGACUGGUAGAGACUGGGUGGCUUACUUGCUUCAAGGCGAUCUCUCGCCUUUGGCUGGAAGAUGCCGAUGGAGCCAUGGAUUGGUCGGCCAGAGUUGCCGAUGGAACUACGUCAGCUACAAAUUAAUAGAAGGGGUUAUAAUACCAAAAAGAAUAAGUUCAUCGGCAGUAAUGUUAUAGGAAUGCGUUACCUUGAGGAAGGACGACGCUUGUGAAAGGAUCAAGAUGCCCAAGAGGGGGGUGAAUUGGGCUUCUCUAAUGAAUUUAAGCAACCUAUAAGCUCCAAUUCAACCCCUUGUGCCUAGUGUUGACGGUUCUUAAGUAUCAAUUAUAAUUAUCAAAUAAACAAGAGAAAGGACCAAUAUGCAACCAUCACCUAGAAUUAGGGUUUGAUCUGACAGAAUUGCACGAGUUUUGUUGUUUAUCUAUUUCUGCAGGGGGUUAUCAGGAAAUAAGGAAGAAAGGCCCACAUGUCGGGAUUACAUAGAGAUAUCAACGCACCGCGCAAUUUUACAUCAUCUAGAAGACUCCAGAAGCCACGAGACCGAAGCGGAGGCGAAGCUGGGCCAGGCCCAGGGCGCCCGCCCUGGAAGCCUGGGCGCCCGCCCCCCUGCUGGAGCCAAUUCAGGACUCCUUCGCUCGGGAUAUUCCACCGACCUAUUGGAUCAAGAAAAACAUAGUACCACCUCGGCUAUCGACCCAAAAACGCAUAGAAGGGGAGGACUAUAUAAGCGAGGCCCCCCUGGCCCCUGGAAGACAUGAAGAAAUUAUCAUAGAGACUGAGGGGUGCCCUCAAAGGAAAACCUCUUCUCUAAUUAAUAUUUCUUUUUAGGCUUAGCAAUCAAUGUAAGGUAGAAAUAGAUCUUCUAGUUUCUACUAGAUUGAGAGAGAUAGAGUGGAGGUGUAGAGUGGAGGAAGCCCGGCCUGUCGGUGUCUACUCCAAGCUUGUACCUGCGGGAUCAGGUUCUCCUAACCCGAAGCUUGCUCCUAGGAUUCUUCAGUAAUUCGACUUCUAAAUUCUAGUAAGUUCUUGUUUUAUUGUUCUUAUGGUUUAUGAGUUUACUUUAAUCUCUUCGCGUAGAGUUUAGAGUAAUCAUUGCUGGCAUAAACGUGGUGUUUAGGCUGGGGUACUCAUAGAUAUUCCCUGACUAGCUGGACCGUGGUAGUAGUGAGGAACGUGACAUUUCCGAGCUACCUUUGUAGAUCACAUCUCGUUAGCAGGAAGGAUAGGGUUUAUAGGUGCGGGUUGAACAUCCUUUGUGGUGUCUAGAUUCCGUUAGCCUCCCCAUUAGAACAGUAGAUCAUCCUUACCAAGGUUAGAAGGAGACUACAGUUGCAGUCUUCUCUAUUUAUCACUCACAUCGAAAGACAUUCUUUGUGCCUAAUGGUUAGUAGUAAUAGACCGGUUAGUCAGAUGCACUCUUUCUCCUAGUGGUAAAAAAAUAAAUACGAUACUCUGGAUAAUUUCCCGGGUGAAGUGCUCACCGAUAUCCGUGCGCUUGCGGAUCAAUUCCUUAUUGCGUUCCCAAAUAUCAACAAGCAUUUCUGGCGCCGUUGCUGGGGAGAAAGACGGUUGCUGAGAUAACCUGUGUCUUGCUACUAGCUUGUAUCUAUACUUUUAUCUUUUUUAUCUUUUAUAUCCUUUAUUUAUUUUUCUUUAUUCUUAGCUUAUGGAAAACCAAAAUUCUAAAUCGAUCCAUGAGUCUGCAAUCCCUUUAGCAACUGACCUUUUGCCAUGGGAAUCAUCACAGCCUAUCCAAACACCCCAGUAUAAGUUAAGUUCUAGGUUGAUUGCCAUGAUUCAAAACCUAUCUUUUUCGGGAAAGGAAGACGAAAACCCUUACCUUCAUAUUAGAGAUUUUGAGCAAACAUGUGAUUGUCUUCGCAUUGAAGGCAUUUCUGAUAAGACUUUAUGUUGGAAGCUUUUUCCUUUUUCUCUAAGGGGAGAAGCUAGACAAUGGUACAGUCAGAAGGUAAGUCAACAACAAGGUGAAUGGGGAGUUUUACGAGCCAACUUUUGUCUAGAUUUCUAUUCCCUUGACCGUAUAGCCGACCUUAGACUCGAAGUCCUAUCUUUUAAACAAAAAGAUAAUGAAACUUUGGGAAAAUCCUGGAAACGUUUUUCUGAUCUUUUAGAAUCUGGUCCAAACCAUAAUCUUGAAGACCCUGUUCUUUUAUUUCACUUUUUUCGAGGUCUUCAUAAAAAUCACAAACAAAUGCUUCACACAAUGUCUAGAGGUUCUUUCUUUCGCAUCCCUGCUAAUGAAGCUAGAGUGAUCCUAGAUAGAAUCCUAGAAGCUAAGAUGGAUAAUACCCUUCAUGAUGAAAGCUACGAAGCCGAAGUAGACACUCUACCAAAUUCUUCAUCUACUUUAGCUAUCCUAAGUUCUGAGCCACAAGAGGAAGAAAUUCCACUACCGGACUUCAUGCUGGAUAUACAAUCCGAUCUUUUUGCCGAUUUUGGAAAUAUUUCAAACUACCAUUCUAUUGACAAACCCCAAAACGGUCAGUUUAGCAUUUAUUUACUAAGUGAAUAUCAAUUGAGAGAGCUUAUCUCAGUCAUGAGUAGCGAAUGGUUGGAGGAAUCAGAGCUUUCCUCUGAUGUGAUCCGUUUGGACACACCCUCUAUAACUAUACGCUGUGCUUAUUAUUCUGAUCGAUUUAAUGCUCUUUAUAAUCCUGUUGUGGGGAUCAACAUUAUGUCUAAAUCCUUUGCACUUAAACUAUUUAAAAAUCUUAUCUUAACCCCCACAACAAAGGUCAUAAAGGAAUCUUCGGGACGACUAGUCCCCAGUCUUGGAAUUAUUAAUGUCCUACCUCUUACAGUAGAAGGCUCCAUGGUUCACUUGAACUUCUAUAUCUUUGAUACAUGGGACUUCGACCUGUUAAUAGGACAACCUUUUAGAAGACUCCUUUAUGAAGGUCAUACUGGAAAGCUACACAUUUCUUUUGGAAAAACUUUUCAAUUCCUAAUGAUAAUUUCAUACUCCUUAAAUAAUAAGGCCGAGUCAUAUCUUUUGCCUGAUCCUAUGGAGGAAGUAAAGGCUGCAUCUCUAGAGCUUUUAGAUGAACCAGACUUAGAAGACGAAACUCCUUUCUUCACAGAAGAAGAAGACGAACCUUCUGAGCCUGAACCCUUAGAUGAGUUUGCAGAAACACCUAGACCCCCCAUAGAACAUAAAACUUUACCACCCGGUCUUACCUAUGCUUUCCUAAACAAUAAUCCAGAGUUUCCCGUGAUCAUUAGUGAUAAACUCACUUAGGAUCAGACUCUGCAAUUAAUGACCAUUCUUGAGAAACAUCACUCAGUUUUCGGCUACUCACUUCAAGAUCUUACAGGAAUCAGUCCUAUGAUUUGUACUCAUCGUAUUCCAACAGAUCCUUCUGUUACACCCUCUCGAGAACCCCAACGUAGACUUAACAAUACUAUGAGAGAGGUAGUUAAAAAGGAAGUUAUAAAGUUGCUGCAUGCAGGGAUUAUAUAUCCUGUGCCGCACAGUGAGUGGGUGAGCCCAGUACAAGUUGUGCCCAAAAAGGGAGGCAUGACAGUUAUUAUGAAUGAAAAGAACGAGCUAAUUCCGCAACGCACCGUCACAGGAUGGCGGAUGUGCAUAGACUAUAGAAAAUUAAACAAAGCCACGAGAAAGGAUCACUUUCCUUUACCUUUCAUAGAUGAGAUGCUAGAGCGGUUAGCAAACCAUUCAUUCUUUUGUUUCUUAGAUGGAUAUUCAAGAUAUCACCAAAUCCCGAUCCAUCCUGAUGAUCAAAGCAAAACCACUUUUACAUGCCCGUAUGGAACUUAUGCUUAUCGUAGAAUGUCUUUUGGGUUAUGUAAUGCACCAGCUUCUUUUCAAAGAUGCAUGAUGUCUAUAUUUUCUGAUAUGAUUGAAGAGAUUAUGGAAGUUUUCAGGGAUGAUUUCUCUGUUUAUGGAAAAACUUUUGAUAGUUGUCUUGAAAACUUAGACAAGGUUUUGCAAAGAUGUGAAGCAAAGCACUUAAUCCUUAAUUGGGAAAAUGUCAUUUUAUGGUUAGAGAAGGAAUAGUGCUAGGACACUUAGUGUCUGAAAGAGGUAUUGAGGUAGACAAAGCUAAAAUUGAAGUAAUUGAACAACUACCCCCACCUGUGAACAUAAAAGGAAUUCGAAGCUUUCUUGGCCAUGCUGGUUUUUAUCGUAGAUUCAUAAAAGAUUUUUCAUUUAUUGCUAGACCACUUACUCUUUUGCUAGCCAAGGAUGCUCCUUUCGAAUUUGAUGAUGCAUGUCUAACAUCUUUCAAUUUAUUAAAGAAAGCACUCAUCUCUGCACCAAUCAUUCAACCCCCUGAUUGGUCGUUGCCUUUUGAAAUUAUGUGUGAUGCUAGUGAUUAUGUUGUAGGGGCAGUAUUAGGAUAAACUAAAGAUAAGAAGCAUCAUGCAAUUGCUUAUGCCAGUAAAACUUUGACAGGAGCUCAGCUUAAUUAUGCAACCACUGAAAAAGAGCUUCUGGCUGUUGUCUUUGCCAUAGAUAAAUUUAGAUCUUAUUUAGUUGGAGCUAAAAUAAUUGUUUACACUGAUCAUGCUGCAUUAAAAUAUUUGCUCACUAAAAAAGAUGCUAAACCUCGCCUGAUUAGAUGGAUCUUAUUACUCCAAGAAUUUGACUUAGAAAUAAAAGAUAAAAAAGGAGUAGAAAAUUCUGUUGCUGAUCACUUGUCUAGAAUGUAUUUUAAGAGUCCACAGGAAACCCCCAUCAAUGAUUCACUCCGGGACGACAUGCUCUACGGGAUUAACAGGUCUGACCCCUGGUAUGCAGAUAUUGUUAAUUUUAUGGUUUCAGGGUAUGUACCACCAGGAGCAAACAAGAAGAAGCUUACUCAAGAAAGUCGUUCACAUAUAUGGGAUGAGCCAUACCUCUUCCGAGUAUGCUCUGACGGCUUACUCAGGAGAUGUGUGACCACUGAGGAAGGAUGGAAGAUCAUUGACAGAUGUCAUUCAUCACCAUAUGGAGGUCAUUAUGGAGCAUUCCGUACACAUUCAAAGAUCUGGCAGUGUGGAUUCUAUUGGCCUACAAUGUAUGAAGACACGAAGCAUUAUAUCAGAAGAUGUGGGCCAUGUCAAAGGAACGGAAACAUAAAUACAAUGGAUGCAAUGCCACUCACCAACAACCUUUAGAUUGAGCUCUUUGAUGUCUGGGGAAUAGACUACAUGGGUCCAUUUCCUCCAUCAAAGAAGUGCGAGUACAUCUUGGUGGCGGUUGACUAUGUCUCCAAGUGGGUAGAAGCAUUACCUUGCAAGCAUGCCGACAACGUCAGUUCAAAGAGGAUGUUUGAAGAAAUUAUAUUUCCAAGAUUUGGAGUUCCCAGAGUAGUGAUAAGUGAUGGAGGAGCACACUUCAUCAACAAACACUUCAAGCAAUAUCUAUCAAGACAUGGAAUUUGUCACAACGUCGCUACCCCCUAUCAUCCUCAGACAAGUGGCCAAGCAGAGACUUCCAACAAACAAAUCAAGAAUAUUCUUCAGAAGACAGUAAAUGAAAUGGGAACGGCGUGGAAAGACAAGUUACCCGAUGCACUCUGGGCAUACCGGACAGCAUACAAGACCCCAAUUGGAAUGUCUCCAUACCAAUUGGUGUACGGGAAGACUUGCCAUCUACCUGUUGAACUAGAGUUCAAAGCACACUGGGCCAUAAAGAGAUGGAAUAUGGACCUAGAUGUUGCUGGAGAUUAUAGAAGAAUGCAACUAUCAGAAUUGGAAGAAUGGCGAGAGAAGGCAUAUCACAAUUCAAAAAUCUACAAAGAAAGAGUCAAGAGGUGGCAUGACAAGAGAAUCAAGAAGAAGGAGUUCACACCCGGAGAUAAGGUAUUACUUUUUAAUUCCAGGGUGAAGCUUUUCAGGCAUGGAAAACUCCGGAGCAAAUGGGAAGGACCAUUCAAGGUAAUCAAUUCAUCAUCCCACGGAGCUAUCACACUUCAAAAUAGCGAAGGUAUGUUAUUCAAGGUAAAUGGUCAACGUCUUAAAUUAUUUUUAGAGCCCAAUGAGGAAAUUGAAGAAAUAGACGUAGUCCAUUUUUACCUUCCCAUGGAGAAUUAGAGCCCGACACUUUUGGUCUGAUGGUUUUGGGGCAUAUAUAUAUUUUUCUAAAUAAUUUCGCAUCUAGAAAUGCGCUCAGAAAAGUGGGCCCACAGAGGAGCCAGAGAGAGGGCGGGCGCCCAGGUCAAGUGGGCGGGCGCCCAGGUCAAGUGGGCGGGCGCCCUGCCCCUGUUCCCCCUCGGUCCCGACUUUCUCUGUUAUGGAAAAUGCACUUAUGGUAAUUCGAAUAAUCCCUCGGAUAGAAAGUUUCCCACGCGAGUCGACGGGAGCAACCCGAACAACCCAUAGAGGCAUCCUUUUGACCCCUAUAUAAACAGACCCCUGACCUCAGUUUUCAAACACCAAGCCACCAAGCUUUCUCUCCUUCAAUUAGAGCUUAAUUAGCUCUCCUUCAAUUAAAAUUUUAUUAGUUCCUUGCUACUCCAAUGGCCGACAAGUACCACGACGAUUGGGAAGUCGUCCCCUUCAACCUCAACAUGGAGCCAGUGGAAGACCCCGAUGCCCGUGCUCUCAUCCCGGCCAACACAGAACGUCAGCUAGAAGCCAUUCCAUUACGCCAACGCAGCUCCGCCCAAUCUUACCAUGCUCAACCAGUUCUCACCGCACCACCACAACCCCUACUCCUCAAAGGAUCAUCAUCAAAGACAAAGACCACUAUCAAGGUGCCAAUCGGCACAAGAGUCCUUCCACCUAGACCCAAUGAGAGGGUCGUUGGAGUCAAGACCAACCGAAGCGGUGAGAUCAGCAGUGUUCGCUACACUACGAAGGAGGAAAGGCCUUACUUUGAAGGGAUUAGAGCAUCCAAAGUCCGUUUCAUCCCUCCAAAGGCAGCCCCAAAGCACGCUCUCAAUGCUUUUGAGACACCUCCCAAGCGUCGCAAGACUAUAAUGGAUAUUGAUGAGGAAGUUCGCAGGCUAGAUAGAAUUAUCAUAGACCUCCAGUCCUCGAUUAAUUCCCACACUAGGCAGCUCUCUAACCACAACACCAUUAUACUAGGCCUUAGGCAGGAUCUUGCCAGUGCCAACAAGAAGAUCAAGGAAUUAGAGCGCCGCUAAGUUAUCUAGAUUAGACCUUGAGGCAAUGCAUCUUAGUUAUCUAUCUUUAAAUUCGGUUUAAGUUUGCUAUUAUCAGUUUGUUAUUAUCAGUUUGUUAUCAGUUUGCUAUCAGUCUUUUUAAUAAAUGCCUCAAGAUCAAUAAAGAGUAUUACUAUUAUUAUUAUGUCUUGUGUGUCUCUACUUUAUUUUUGUGCAAGAAAGCAGAAAACAAGUAUGGGGGAGAUCCCUCGACAUGCCAACCACACUCCGACUACACCACUCCACGAUUCAGGUACACACUCUGCACACUUUACUUCAUACAUACAUUUAUUUUGGAUUAUGCAGAUUACUGUUUCCGACAUGAUAAAAUAAAAAGAUUAAAAUAUUUCUAAUCAUGAUUAAUCUCAAUCUGUGAUAUUUCCUGAAAACUUACAAUUAUUAUAAAAUCAUUUUAAAACCCUGUGUUACUUAAGUCAAGAUGGAAUAUGUGAUGGUAGAGUAUGAGUUUCUUAUUCUUGAUAUCAUUGUUGCUUGGAGAAUUUAUUUCAAAAUAUUCAAAUUUCUAGCUACCAUCCUCAGUGUUUUAUAUGCCUGAUAAGACUGAAAAUAUUAAUUAUGAUUAUAAAAGCUAUCUGCUCUUAAUUGAGUUUGUUCAAAAUGAGUUAGACCCUUGUUGAGAGAUUUAUCAUGCUCCCAAGAUCAAGACAUUAUUUCAGUAAGAUUCACUCUUCCGAACUAUUAUUGCAUUAGAGGCAUGGGCUAUGCAAAAAUAGAAAUAUUUCGAGGAAAUAAAAAGGAGCAAGUGCUCGAUAACCUCGCAGAAAAAAAUGGACAAGUGUCCGGCAGUAGAAUUAGGGGUACCUCAGUAUCCACUUAGUAAAAAAAAAAGAGAAAAAAAAAUGAUAGCCCAUGGUCCCUCUAAUAAGCAAUAUGCCAGUAAGAGUUGACAAAGUUUUUAAUUUCCAAAGUCUUUGAUCUAAGAGUAUGACAUUCCCCUCCUCGGAUCCCGUUUUGAGCAAGUAAUAAAUGCAAAGUAAGUAUGCUUAAGAAUUUUUGCAAAUUAAAACAACCUCAGUGAGAUAUAUAUAAAAGAUAAUGAGUGAUCUGAGAGAACCUAUGAGGAUAAAAAGGUAUGCUAACUUUCUUUUAAAAAUAUACAAAAACUCCAAGUGGCAGGAUUGAGAAGAAAGGAUCUUUACUCUUAACCAUAUACAUCCCUGACUAUGGUACACAGUGGAUUUUUAACACCCUGCAAAUAUAAAGAAUGUUUUAAAUGUUUACCCCAGAUAUUUUUCAUAACCAUCCUUUUCUCGAGGACGAGUAAAAGCCUAAGUAUGGGGGUAUUUGUUGACGGUUCUUAAGUAUCAAUUUUAAUUAUCAAAUAAACAAGAGAAAGGACCAAUAUGCAACCAUCACCUAGAAUUAGGGUUUGAUCUAACAGAAUUCCACGAGUUUUGUUGUUUAUCUAUUUCUGCUGGGGGUUAUCAGGAAAUAAGGAAGAAAGGCCCACAUGUCGGGAUUACAUAGAGAUAUCAACGCACCGCGCAAUUUUACAUCAUCUAGAAGACUCCAGAAGCCACGAGACCGAAGCGGAGGCGAAGCUGGGCCAGGCCCAGGGCGCCCGCCCUGGAAGCCUGGGCGCCCGCCCCCCUGCUGGAGCCAAUUCAGGACUCCUUCGCUCGGGAUAUUCCACCGACCUAUUGGAUCAAGAAAAACAUAGUACCACC